AUACAACUUUUGACAACGGAUCUCUUGGCUCUCGCAACGAUGAAGAACGUAGCGAAUUGCGAUAAGUAAUGUGAAUUGCAGUUUCAGUGAAUCAUCAAAUCUUUGAACGCAUAUUGCACUCCUUGGUAUUCCGAGGAGUACGCCUGUUUGAGAACC
Molecule: ribosomal RNA, 156 nt
Filed under: Chytridiales sp. ARG 012
Lineage: Eukaryota; Fungi; Chytridiomycota; Chytridiomycetes; Chytridiales
Also listed under: 1 other name
Description: 5.8S ribosomal RNA
Rfam family: 5.8S ribosomal RNA
About the family: 5.8S ribosomal RNA (5.8S rRNA) is a component of the large subunit of the eukaryotic ribosome. It is transcribed by RNA polymerase I as part of the 45S precursor that also contains 18S and 28S rRNA. Functionally, it is thought that 5.8S rRNA may be involved in ribosome translocation.
Source: RNAcentral